GACGAACGCUGGCGGCGUGCCUAACACAUGCAAGUCGAACGGAAAGGCCCUGCGUUUGUGGGGUGCUCGAGUGGCGAACGGGUGAGUAACACGUGUGUAACCUGCCCUUGACUUUGGGAUAACUUCAGGAAACUGGGGCUAAUAUCGGAUAGGAUCUCCUGCUGCAUGGUGGGCGUUGGAAAGUUUCGGCGGUUGGGGAUGGACUCGCGGCUUAUCAGCUGGUUGGUGGGGUAGUGGCUUACCAAGUCUUUGACGGAUAGCCGGCCUGGGAGGGUGACCGGGGUCAUGAGGCCUGCGAGAGGCAGCAGACUCCAACGUGAGGCAGUGGGCGAAAGUAUGACACAGCGGGCCGGAGUCUGAGGCGAAGGCGCCCGGUUCGGAAUGACGUCCUUCGGGUUAAGAACCGCUUUCGCCUGUGACGAAGCGUGAGUGACGGUAACGAAUAAAGAAGCACCGGCUAACUACGUG
This 468-nucleotide ribosomal RNA is filed under the name uncultured bacterium. RNAcentral's name for it is "partial 16S ribosomal RNA". It matches the Rfam family "Bacterial small subunit ribosomal RNA", at positions 28 to 507 of the family's 1533-position model. The record is from RNAcentral.